UAAAUUGACGGUACCUGAUGAAUAAGCUCCGGCUAACUACGUGCCAGCAGCCGCGGUAAUACGUAGGGAGCGAGCGUUAUCCGGAAUUAUUGGGCGUAAAGGGUGCGUAGAUGGCAUAUAAAGUCUAUUGUAAAAGUGCUAGGCUCAACCUAGUGAGGCAAUAGAAACUAAUAAGCUAGAGUACAGAAGAGGCAAGUGGAAUUCCAUGUGUAGCGGUAAAAUGCGUAAAUAUAUGGAGGAACACCAGUGGCGAAGGCGGCUUGCUGGUCUGAUACUGACAUUGAGGCACGAAAGCGUGGGGAGCAAACAGGAUUAGAUACCCUGGUAGUCCACGCCCUAAACGAUGAGUACUAAGUGUAGCCGUAAGGCUGUGCUGAAGUUAACGCAUUAAGUACUCCGCCUGAGUAGUACGUACGCAAGUAUGAAACUUAAAGGAAUUGACGGGAGCCCGCACAAGCGGUGGAGCAUGUUGUUUAAUUCGACGAUACGCGAAGAACCUUACCAGGUCUUGACAUCUGAUGCAAAGUUAUAGAGAUAUAAUGGAGGUUAGCAUCAAGACAGGUGGUGCAUGGUUGUCGUCAGCUCGUGUCGUGAGAUGUUGGGUUAAGUCCCGCAACGAGCGCAACCCUUAUUUCUAGUUACCAUCAUUAAGUUGGGGACUCUAGAGAGACUGCCAUUGAUAAAAUGGAGGAAGGUGGGGAUGACGUCAAAUCAUCAUGCCCUAUAUGACCUGGGCUACAAACGUGCUACAAUGGCUGGAACAAAGAGAAGCAAAACCGCGAGGUAGAGCGAACCUCAAAAAACAGUCUCAGUUCGGAUUGAAGUCUGCAACUCGACUUCAUGAAGUUGGAAUCGCUAGUAAUCGCGAAUCAGAAUGUCGCGGUGAAUACGUUCCCGGGCUUUGCACACACCGCCCGUCAA
This 921-nucleotide ribosomal RNA is filed under the name uncultured bacterium. RNAcentral's name for it is "bacterial SSU rRNA". It matches the Rfam family "Bacterial small subunit ribosomal RNA", at positions 465 to 1400 of the family's 1533-position model. The record is from RNAcentral.